This 151-nucleotide small nuclear RNA is filed under the name Marmota monax (woodchuck). RNAcentral describes it as "U2 spliceosomal RNA". It matches the Rfam family "U2 spliceosomal RNA". Rfam says of the family: U2 is a small nuclear RNA (snRNA) component of the spliceosome (involved in pre-mRNA splicing). Complementary binding between U2 snRNA (in an area lying towards the 5' end but 3' to hairpin I) and the branchpoint sequence (BPS) of the intron results the bulging out of an unpaired adenosine, on the BPS, which initiates a nucleophilic attack at the intronic 5' splice site, thus starting the first of two transesterification reactions that mediate splicing. The record is from Rfam by way of RNAcentral. Lineage: Eukaryota; Metazoa; Chordata; Mammalia; Rodentia; Sciuridae.
AUCGCUUCUCGGCCUUUUGGCUAAGAUCAAGUGUAGUAUCUGUUCUUAUCAGUUUAAAUGUUUAGUAAGAUCAAAAUAUUUCCUUUUACUUCUGUUAGAGUUAACUGGAAUCUUUUGAGUAAUGAUUGAAACUCAGUAGGAUCCCAGUAAC